Molecule: non-coding RNA, 841 nt
Filed under: Neocrepidodera brevicollis
Lineage: Eukaryota; Metazoa; Arthropoda; Insecta; Coleoptera; Chrysomelidae
Source: RNAcentral
GUUAUUUGGGGCCGAUAAAUAUUAAUAAAUUCAGAAUAAUUCUAAAUCCUUAGGCCCCUCCAAAUAUUUAUGUUUAUAGUUUUUUAAAAGUAUCAAAAGUUUUUUUUAGCUUGGAAAAUUAAGUAUUAUUUUAAAUUAAAUGUAAAAUUUUUUUAAAGAAUUAUUAGCAAUAAUUAGUUUUAUUAAUUUAAGAAAUUAAGAAUUAGUGAUAAUAUUAAAUAUAAACAAAAUUUGUGCCAGCAGUUGCGGUUAUACAAAUUAUAUAAAUUAAUAUUUUUAAUUUUAAUAAAUUUGAAAUUUAUAUAAUUAUAUAAUAAAAUUUAUUAGGUGAAAUUUUAAAUUUUUAUUUAAAUUAAUUAAAGAUAGUGAUGUAAAAAAGUUUUUUUAUAAACUAGGAUUAGAUACCCUAUUAUUAUUAAUGUAAUUAAUAAAAUUAAAUUAGUAUUAGUUAUGUUCUUUAAAAUUAAAAAAUUUGGCGGUAUUUUAGUCUUUUCAGAGGAACCUGUCCUAUAAAUGAUAGUCCACGAUUUAAUUUACUUUUUUUUUUAGUUUACAUAUCGUCGUAAUUUAAAUAUUUUUUAAGAAUUUAAAUAUUUAAUAUUUUUAAUAAAAAAUUAAAUCAGAUCAAGGUGUAGUUUAUAGAAAAGUAGAAAUGGGUUACAUUUAAUUUAUUUAAGGCUUAUUAUUAUUAUAGUAUUAUAAAUGUGGAUUUGAAAGUAAUAUUAUUUAAUUUAAUAGUAUGAUUUUAGCUCUAAAAUAUGCACAUAUUGCCCGUCGCUUUCAUUUAAUAUGAAAUAAGUCGUAACAAAGUAGAUUUACUGGAAAGUGAAUCUAGAUUCAA